RNAcentral lists this ribosomal RNA (881 nucleotides) under Calileptoneta sylva. Its description in RNAcentral is "partial 28S ribosomal RNA". The stretch from base 606 to 881 matches the Rfam family "Eukaryotic large subunit ribosomal RNA", at positions 665 to 921 of the family's 3401-position model. The record is from RNAcentral. Lineage: Eukaryota; Metazoa; Arthropoda; Arachnida; Araneae; Leptonetidae.
GAAACGGGUGGGCCCUCGAAUUCCGUGGCCCGGGGGAAUUCAGUCCGGACCCGAGGCGGCAGGCCGCGUCGGCGGAGGCGAUUGGUUCUCACGCCCCCCGGCCGGUGACUCCGCGUAGGUCUCCGGAUGCAAUCUCUCCCGUGGCGGAGGACGCCGCAGCCGAUUGGGUGGUCUUGAAGUUCGCACCGGCGCGCCGCGACAGGGGAGCGGCGUCGUCGUCCCGAGCCUCAGACGCAGCGUCAGACUAGACUAUAAACAUGUGCGAUAGGGGCGAAGGUGGCGUCGCCGAAAUUCCGGUCUGGAGCGUCGUGCGGACACCCGAUCGACAGAGAAGGGUUCUUAGUGAUGGGGGGGCGCGCCCGUCCGCCCCCCUACGCCGUGGCGAGUCCCCUCCGGCGUAAUUUAACCCGGUGUGCCCGCGUCGACAGGUGAUGCGUUCUGGCACGGGCCUUCGGGGCGGCGUACCCUGGCGCCGACGCGCGACGUGCGGUAAUCGCCGAUGCGCGCGGACGCGAAGGACGUCCCCCGGCCCUCGGAGGUGCAAAGGGCUCUCACGGCUGGCGGCGAGUAGGUCGGUCACCCACCCGACCCGUCUUGAAACACGGACCAAGGAGUCUAACGUGUGCGCGAGUCAGUGGGACUUGAACAGGCCCACGGGCGCAACGAAAGCGAAUUGAAUUUAGGUCGCGAUCCCCGGAUGAAAGGGCCGGAGGAGCAGCGGCGGCCCGUUCCCCCACUCGUGGGCGGGGCGGCGCCUGAGCGCACAGGUUGGUACCCGAAAGAUGGUGAACUAUACGCGUGCGGGUUGAGUCCAGGUGAAAACCUGGCGGAGGACCUGAGGGCCUCUGACGUGCAAAUCGACCCCGCGACCUACGCAUAGG